GGGGUUUGCAGGAGACCAGGAAUGAGAGGAAACGCGGUGCCAGAGCAGGCUGUGUUUGCCUCUGAGGACAGAGAGCCUGUGGGCUGAGAAUUGCCACGAGAGGAAAUACCUCAGAGGGGCUUCCCUCCAAAUAAGCCCUGAAUAUGCCAGGAGGUUUCAGCUGGGAGAAUGGAGCUGUGGAAGAAAACCACCCUAAAAAUAGCCAGUGGGGAUCAUCAGGUUUUCCAGCCAAGAAAAACAAGGACGGAGAUGAGGGAAUCGGGUUCCAAUUAAUAAUGAUUUGGUGGGUGUAGGAAUGAUUUCUGUGUUUUCCAGUCCCUUUUGAUGAUUUUAAAAUCAUGGCUUUAGCAAUCAACUAAAUUGGAGAUGUUGUUUUUGAGAGGAAAUGAUGCCAAAUAAAUGCAGAGAGAGAGCAUGGAAUCA
This is a long non-coding RNA of Neopelma chrysocephalum (saffron-crested tyrant-manakin), 423 nucleotides long. RefSeq lists it as uncharacterized. The record is from RefSeq and is a predicted model, not a curated record. Lineage: Eukaryota; Metazoa; Chordata; Aves; Passeriformes; Pipridae. The transcript is spliced from 2 exons.